This 341-nucleotide ribosomal RNA is filed under the name uncultured bacterium. RNAcentral describes it as "bacterial SSU rRNA". It matches the Rfam family "Bacterial small subunit ribosomal RNA", at positions 458 to 793 of the family's 1533-position model. The record is from RNAcentral.
AGCAUAUUCAUUUGACGUUAGCUGCAGAAGAAAGCACCGGCUAACUCCGUGCCAGCAGCCGCGGUAAUACGGAGGGUGCGAGCGUUAAUCGGAAUUACUGGGCGUAAAGCGCAUGCAGGUGGUUUGUUAAGUCAGAUGUGAAAGACCCGGGGCGUCAACCUCGGAAUUGCAUUUGAAACUGGCAAACUAGAGUACUGUAGAGGGGGGUAGGAAUUUCAGGUGUAGAGGUGAAAUGCGUAGAGAUCUGAAGGAAUACCGGUGGCGAAGGCGGCCCCCUCGGACAGAUACUGACACUCAGAUGCGAAAGCGUGGGGAGCAAACAGGAUUAGAUACCCUGGUAG